Molecule: non-coding RNA, 70 nt
Organism: Dipodomys ordii (Ord's kangaroo rat)
Lineage: Eukaryota; Metazoa; Chordata; Mammalia; Rodentia; Heteromyidae
Source: Rfam
GGGAAUGUGGCUUAGUGGUAGAGUGCUUGCCUGGAAUGCAUGAAGCCCUGGGUUCGAUUCCUUAGUACCA